GGUAGCUCUAGCUCAGUGGUUGGGAUGUUGGACUGGGGAUCAGCAGGUUGUGAGUUCAAAUCUCUGCGCUGCCA
Molecule: non-coding RNA, 74 nt
Organism: Pangasius djambal
Lineage: Eukaryota; Metazoa; Chordata; Actinopteri; Siluriformes; Pangasiidae
Source: the annotation of a GenBank genome assembly